RNAcentral lists this unclassified non-coding RNA (253 nucleotides) under uncultured Frankiales bacterium. RNAcentral's name for it is "contains 16S-23S intergenic spacer region". It matches the Rfam family "Bacterial small subunit ribosomal RNA", at positions 524 to 776 of the family's 1533-position model. Lineage: Bacteria; Bacillati; Actinomycetota; Actinomycetes; Frankiales. The record is from RNAcentral.
UACGUAGGGUGCAAGCGUUGUCCGGAAUUAUUGGGCGUAAAGAGCUCGUAGGCGGCUUGUCACGUCUGCUGUGAAAACUCGGGGCUCAACCCCGAGCCUGCAGUGGAUACGGGCUAGCUAGAGUGCGGUAGGGGAGACUGGAAUUCCUGGUGUAGCGGUGGAAUGCGCAGAUAUCAGGAGGAACACCGGUGGCGAAGGCGGGUCUCUGGGCCGUAACUGACGCUGAGGAGCGAAAGCAUGGGGAGCGAACAGG